Molecule: ribosomal RNA, 253 nt
Filed under: uncultured bacterium
Lineage: Bacteria
Description: partial 16S ribosomal RNA
Rfam family: Bacterial small subunit ribosomal RNA
Source: RNAcentral
UACGAGAGGCCCAAACGUUAUUCGGAAUUACUGGGCUUAAAGAGUUCGUAGGCGGCAUGAAAAGUAGGGUGUGAAAGCCCUCGGCUCAACCGAGGAAUUGCGCUCUAAACUGUCGUGCUCGAGGAACCUAGAGGUGAGCAGAACAGAUGGUGGAGCGGUGAAAUGCGUAGAUAUCAUUUGGAACGCCAAUGGUGAAAACAGGUAGCUGGGGCUGUGCUGACACUGAGACACGAAAGCCAGGGGAGCGAACGGG